AUUCUGCACAGCUGCUGCCUGGAUGAUGGACACAGCUGGCUGUGGGGUCACUGAUGCUGUGGGAAAACCAGGGCCCAGAUAGGACAGCUGCCCUGAAAUCAUCACUGGGAGCUGGGAACCAGUGCAGGCACCCGGACCAGCCUGCCUGCACCACCUGGGUGAUUCCCAGAGCACGGGAGCCAACUCAGCAGCCCUUGAUCGCUCUGUCAGUCCCACCAGCAUCCUGUGCUUCCCCCAGUCAGUCUGCAGCUUGCACCAGACUUCUGCCUGCCUCCUGACCUCGAUCAGUGGAGAUUCUGGAAUCAGCACAAAAACUAUGAAUAAAUAGAAGGCACAACUUUUGGAGAGACCUGCAUAACACUGGAGAGCAGCACUGGGAGCGAGAAGCACUCUUGUCUGUCUCCCUCUUCUUGGCACGCUCUAUUCACGCUCUGGAAUGGCGCAUUUCUGUAUAAACUUCUCAUGACUGACUUCAAGCAAGAUACAUGCAGAACCACUGAGGUGAGGAACUACUUUCUGUGGGAGCGGCAGCGUGGCUCAGAACAGCAGGGAUAAAUCUUCUCUGGAUACAAAACAAUGAAGAUGUAUGGAAGAAGAAGAAUGGAAUAAUACAUCAGCUGAAUUCAUGAUCUCCAUGAUUAUAUGACAAAAGGAAAAAACUAAGGUAGGAUUUAUUAAGAAACAUAAAAUGGCAAUCCAUUUUCUACCUUUCCAGAGAGCUGCAAACCAAAUACUUUUCCUGAGACUGAAGAUGAAACAAGAGCAACAGAUGUUGUUCCACUAUUAGCAAAUUAAUUGAAAAAUUAAUACAGGGCCUUGUUCUUAAAGAAACAGGAUCUUGUCAAAAUUCCAAAAUAGAAUCAUAGAACAUCCCGAGUUGGAGGGGACCCACACAGAUCAUAAAAUCUAGCUGCUGGUGUCACGUAGGACCACACAGAAAUCAGACCUUAUGUCUGACAGCAUUGUCCAGAACUGCAGCAAGCUCAGAGGAGUUUUAAAUAUGCCUUUGCUUAUUAGGAAGUAUUAACAUAUAUCAAAUUUAUUACUUGUUUAUUCAAAUAUUUAUUUAUUUAUUAACAUAUCUCAAAUGCUACUUUUCUUCCACUACUGUUUUUCUUUUUCAGCCUCUCAAACAAUUUCUCUGAGAUCUCAGUCUACCGUGUUUUUUCAGUCAUCUCUCAUUCAAUAAGACUUUGUGAAACACUGACUUGUUGGUCUCAGGAGGGAAGUCUUCCCUACUGUUGCCAGUGCUGCUGGUGUUUUAUGGUAACAAGGACUAAGGGGAAAACACUUGUCAGUGGAACAUCUUGAUAAACAGUCCUUUUGCUUCUACAAUUACCAUAUUUCUUCAUUACCAGGAAAUAGGCACUUGACAAACGUGAUUUCAUUGUUUACCCAUUCUGGCUUUCAAUUAGAACCAGAAAGCUAUAAUGCACAUUAGAACACUGCUUAGUUGGGUUUGAAACUAGGCAACUAAUUAAUGACUAGACAUUUGCACUUAUUUAUUUAAGACAAUCUCCAGAGUCUUCAGCGACUGGUUUUUACGAAGAUAAUGGGCUUGUUAGAAAGCUAGAGUAAUAGCAUCUCCUUUUGGAGUUUUUUCCUUGCUCUUUAAAUCAUUUGUUAUUAUUUUCAAUUUAAAUACUUUUGUCUGGGUACCAGGUAUUCAGUAUAAGCAUAGCAUUUCUCCAUGCAUGGUAGACUGGAUGUUGCAGUUUCCAUGUUUUUUACCUGUUUUUACCUGUGUUUACAGCAUUGUGGAGCUGCUGACCAAAUCAUGUUAUCUGCACUGUUUCAUUGUCAUCAUUUUUGCUUAGCUGCUCAGUACGGUUAGUCAGUUGCACUUUGUUGGGCUAUCAUCUGUUAAUUCCUUUUAUUAGUAGCUGAUACACAAACUUAGUACCAAAGUAUUGCUGAUAAGUAUUACAACAUCUCUUGGCAGAUCUUGAAGAUAAAGCACUUUAUCCAAAGUCAUUUGAGUAUCAUCUUCUCUGGUUUCAGUCAAGAACUACUAAUGAGCUACAUGCAUUUAUUCUUUUGUGAAGUCUGUGUAAGCAAAGGCUGAAAUCAUGAUCAGUCAUGACAGAAGAUUUUAUCACACUGAAACGUGCGUGCUCAGGCAUUGGAAAGAGGAGAGAACCUUAGGUGGGUGCAAUGGGGGAAGAUAGAACAACUGACUGGCAGCAUCAGCAAGUCAGACUCAGUUAAAGUGAUCAUUUGAUAAUAUCAGAUUAGGCAUAAGUUUCCCUCAUGACCUCCCAACGCAAUAACGAUACAUUUCAAGCCAGGUUUUUUUUAAUGGCUGUAAGUGAAAGCUUUUUGCCUUUUAUCUUAAGCUGGUUAAAAUUCAGGAUGACUUAUUAGAUCAAUGGACAGCACUUGUUUAUGAAACAGGGGAAGUAUAACAGCACUGCCAUGCAGUAAAUGCAUUUAUUUGCAAUUGAAAUGCACUGUAUAAAGUGUGUUCUACUUCAUAUACCUUAAGGUAUGAGGAGAGGUCAUUUUAAGCAGCCAGUAAUUAACAGCACAUGAAAAUAUAAGAAUCCAGACAACUUCUCAAAAUACAUUAGAUGCUUAAAUCUCUAUUAUUUUCAGUGAGAUUUAAGCACAUAAUUUAGAAAAAUCUGUGUUUACUUAUUAAGUUUUUAAAAAAAUUCCUCAUAUUUCUUAUCUUUCAGUUAGCAAAAAGCUACACAUGCAUUUGCGUGUUGCACAGAUUCCCAUUCACACAGUCUUUUUAAGGGUGUGUUCAUGAAUACACAUAUAAAAUGUAUGUAUAUAUGAAAAUAUGCUAUUAUUUUAUAUUAGUACAUGGCUGAGCAUAUAUGCUAACACUAUGCAAAAUAAGGUAGGCCAGCUACUAACAAAUGUUUUAAGAUAAAAGUCACAUUUUCAUCAUACUUUGUGUCUGUAUGCAUUACAUAUAUCCACUGUCCCUUUUUUAGACUUAAGUGACUCAUUUUGUUUUGAAGUUGCUCAUUCAUUUACAUAGCUGAAGGUUGUGCUGAUACCCCUCAGAAACGUAACUUCCUCACAUGAAGAACAUUUCAUAUGUUUUUAGCAUAAAUAAUGUGGUCAUUACUCCUAAGUGACACACAUUGCUUAUUAAUAGGGCUAAAAAUAACCUUUUAAAUACCCAAAAUGCAAUUAUGGAAAUAAUACAGAAAUAAUCACAACAUGACCAUUUAUGCAAUUUAAUUGAGUUAUUCAGUGAACUGCUAGAAUCAUAUGGCUGUAAGACAGCAUCAUGCUUUGCAGCCACAUCUGUUGUCAUUAAUCUAACUUCCACUGAAAUGCAUGGGAAGACAUCCUCUUGGUUCCACCAGAAAUUACACUGAUUUCUGUUGAUUUCAUUAGGAAAUGAAUUCUUAUCAACAUGCUGAGUGAAAUUCAAGACUGCAACCUCAUAAGUUACCUGGUGUUUUUUCAGAAGUUUGAUAACGGCCUGUGUCUUCCAGUUGGUCAUAAUUAUAAAACAAGAGAUUAAAUUCUGUUCACAUCACACAUUUCUGCAAGAGAAAAUGAAAUGCAAGAAGUUGAUCUUGUGAUUUGUAAUAGUUUGUUGUUAUAAUCCCUCUGCUGUUGCGUGUAAAGACAUAGAGGUUUUCAAGAAAAUGCUAAGUGUGGCACUGAGACACAUGGUUAGAGGGCAUGGUGGGGAUGGACUGAUGGUUGGAUUGAAUGAUCUUAGUGAUCUUUUCCAACCUUAAUGAUUCUAUGAUUCUGUGAUAAAUUCCUUUAUGAAGUAGACCUCAAUGAGGUAAUCUGGCUUCUUUCAAAUCACGUUUAUUUAAAAUAUAAAUCUGAAAUAUUUCUGAUAUAAAAGAAGUUAGGAAGUAUUCCCUAUGGAAAUACCCAUCCAUAGAUAUUAUUUUGAGUUACAAAAUAUACAUAAACAGUUGGAAUCUACACUUACUUUUUCUAAAGCAUCUUAUUUAUGGAGAGAAGAAGAAGUUCUGAUAGAAAACUCUGAUUUUAAAAACUGGAGUAGGGUGGGAGACAGCCUACAGCAGCUGCUGAGUGAGAAUAUCUUUUAAGACAUAGCAAAUGAUAAGUGCAUUAAGAAAUCUCAGGGGAAGAUGGGUGUGGUUUAGGAACUUAAUCAACUGAAUAUGGACUCAAGUUUCCUCCAUGGAACAUGGCCAAAGCUUUACUUCUUGAGAUGUUUCUUGACCUUGAAUGCAACUUCACUGAGACACACAACUGAAAGACCAUCAGUUUUCAGGUAGGGACACAUGUAUAUCUUGAUCUUAAUGGCAACUGCACAUGCUACAGGGAUCCUAAACUGAUAACAGGUAUAAUAAGCUGCUGUUUAAACAUGAAGGAAUUGAACUGUGAGUCACUUCUUAAGUUGCUGCACUUAAGAUAAAAAGUUCAAAAUUUCACUUAGGAUAACAAAGAACACUACAGGAAAACUUUUCACUUGAAAGAUAGUGUUGGAUUCUGCACUUUUUCAUGUAGAACUACUUCAUCAUAAUUUUAGAAUAUUUUAAAACUGAAAACAAAUUGGGCAGCAAAUUGUCCUAAUGACGUUUAAAUAUCAUAUUUAUAUGUUAUUGGAAAAUUGACAAGUUAGGAGCUACUAAAAACACCUGUGCUAUUCGAAACUGCCCACACAGUUGUCCUAGAUUUGCUUCUUCCUGCAUACAAUGCCCUCUGCAGGGCAAACUCCAUCAAGUAUAGUCUGCAUUGUUUUUUUCAUUAAGAACAUGUACUUCAAUUUUAAAAAGUAUUUCAGAGGGAGCGGAAGUUUUGAUAUUCUAGCACUGUAACUUUAACCUCUUACAUUAGAAUAGCAUUGUCCUGGACAAAAAUAUUGUCAGUAAUACAGGACAGCUGUGGUAUCUGAAUAGUUUUUAUGUUUAGCUUCUUAUUUUUAGGUCAUGAUUGGAAAAGACCUAAUUCUGGAAGCAAAGGAGAACAAAAUGCAAUAAUAGAGGUCAGUAAGUAGCCAUAAAAAGAAAGAAACAUAAAUUUAGUGGUGAAGCAGUGGAAGAAAGAUAAUGUUGCAAGAAUACAUGCAAUGGUAAAUUGUGAAAGGAGAAAGGAAAUAUACAUAUUAGUGAAGACAGAGUCAGCAGGAAGGAAUCCCAACUUUGGCCACACUGCAGCAGUAAAACUACAGAUGGACUUUCUUACCAAGGCUAUUGGAAAAGGACACAAUAUUUCUCUGAUUUUUUAUUGGGUGAGGAAAUCUUAAGUCUUUCCAUUAACUUCAUCUAACCCUUCCAGCUCCCAUCAAUGAGAAAUAAUUUUAGUUAAAUGUGAGUUUUACAGGAUGGUAUCUGAAAAAAUUGCACUGACUAUAACAUCUGCAAUGGUAGAGCAUCAGUUAGAGAAGUGAUUCUCUUAGUUUUUCCCACUCUCAGCCAAUUCUUCAUGUCAUCUUAUUCCACCUGCUAUCAAAGCCUGAAGUGCUGCUGCUGUGCACAGGCAACGGUAGCAAAAGUAGGAAUUUUAAACAGAUCCUAGAGAUUAUUCACAAAAAACAAAAAAAACAAACAAACAAACAAAAAAACCCACAACAAAACAGAGUAUUAAAAUGUGUAACAGGCAGUGCCAGAAAUCUGAAUUAUUCUAUGUUACAUACAUAAAUUAAUGCAACAAAAUCCAGUGUUUAACCUGGUUGAACUCAGACCAUUUGAUGUAUAUCCCACUUGUAGUGAAUGGCUAGCAAGUAGAAAACAGGCCAGAAAUUAUUUCCAUUUCAAACUUACAUGCACUUAAAAUAGACAAUUAAGUGGAAGAAUAUUCAUCAUAUUUGCUAGGAGUUACAAUAGUUAUUUAAAAUCAUUAAUUAAACCAUUUUGAAGGAUAGAUACAGAAACAACUUGGAGAGAAGAGAUAUAAGUAUGGAAAAACAGAGAUCAUAUUGGUUAUUAUUAAUGAAGAAAGCCAUAGUUUCCUUACCCACCCAGCCCACUCCCAGUUGUUCUGCUGUUCUGUAUUUUAAAAUGGUCAGGAAGUGAAUUUCCAUUCAGUUCUUCCUCAUAACUCCUGAUCACCUGUAACUUAACCACCCAGGCACUAACAAACAAAUAAACAGAGCUUUUACCACUGCCUUCCUUGUUUAUUUAUUUGUUUGUUUUUCCCACCCCAUAAGUGAUUAUGUGCUUGCAUGAAAGAGACAAUUUUUUAAAAUGAAAGAAUGAAACAUCUCUGGGUGAGAAACAGCUUCAGCUGUUAUGAAGUCGGUACUCCUAAGCAGCACUGCACCCUGAUGCUCAUCCAGUGUU
This is a non-coding RNA of Meleagris gallopavo (turkey), 6236 nucleotides long. The record is from RefSeq and is a predicted model, not a curated record. NCBI's taxonomy places the organism in Eukaryota, Metazoa, Chordata, Aves, Galliformes, Phasianidae.